GAAACGGUAGCUCAAUGGAAGAGCAUUAGUCUUCCUCACUAAGGGUUGCGGGGUUCGAGUCCCGCCCGUUUCU
RNAcentral lists this transfer RNA (73 nucleotides) under Chryseobacterium sp. SL1. RNAcentral describes it as "tRNA-Gly". It matches the Rfam family "tRNA". Rfam says of the family: Transfer RNA (tRNA) molecules are approximately 80 nucleotides in length. Their secondary structure includes four short double-helical elements and three loops (D, anti-codon, and T loops). The record is from RNAcentral. Lineage: Bacteria; Pseudomonadati; Bacteroidota; Flavobacteriia; Flavobacteriales; Weeksellaceae.